RNAcentral lists this long non-coding RNA (3113 nucleotides) under Panax ginseng (ginseng). Its description in RNAcentral is "long non-coding RNA (PGIN_LNC014562)". Lineage: Eukaryota; Viridiplantae; Streptophyta; Magnoliopsida; Apiales; Araliaceae. The record is from RNAcentral.
GGAGGGGAGGGGAGGGGGAUUGAGUCAGUGCGUGUCAAUAUACGUAUACAUAUAUAUAGAGAGAGAGAGGAUAGCUGUAAGAAAGGACCAAAAGCUAUACCAUUUAAAAACUCUAUAUAUGUAACUGUACAAGAAGAGGGAGAGGAGAACAUUUAUAUCAUUGCAUACAUAUAUAUAUACACAUACCUAUAUGAUGAGGCCAUGAAGGAGAGACAGAUCUAGAGACAGAAUCACGAGAGGAGUUUUCAAACCAUACAUACAUAUAUAUAUAUAUAUAUAUAUAUAUGUAUAUAAAUAUAGAUAUAUAAUUACAUGCAUGGCUUGUGUUCUUUGCAGAUUCAUCAUCAGCUUACUCCCCCUUAAAGUUAAAGGCUCCCCAAAAUACACCUAUUUAAAUUCACCGCCUCUCUUUAAUUGGUGUAUGAUGAGCAUAUGAAAACUCUAUUCGUCUCCAGUGGCCGGGCCAGUUAAUUAUAUAUGUUGGUUUGAGAGAUUGAAGCUGCCAGCAUGAUCUGGUAACAACUAUAUAUCUACCUACCCAUCUUAAUCCUCGAUCGUUAAUUAAGCUGUGUUUGUGAGUUUUGUUUCGGAGAGAUAAAAGAAGAAAGUUCUUCAUUUUAAUUUUUUUAAUUAUAUCUUAUAUAUAUCUACCUACCUAACCCAUAUUUCUUUCUUUCCCCUUCUCUUUCUUUCUUUUCGCAAUUUAAAUUCCACAUGAUGAAUCACCAAAAUUUAUCUGUCGAUUUUUCUUAAUUUGUGUUUGUGAGUUUUGUUUCGGAGGAGAGUACUAAAGUGAAGGAAAUUAAAGAGAUAGCAACAGAAACUUUUUCACUACAUUUUUUUUUAAAAUAAAGAAGAAUUUUAUCUUCUCAUUCAUUCCAUUCCCCACAAAAUAAAAUCACAAUCAUGGGUUAAGGCUUAAGUUAUAUCAAAUUCAUCAAUUUUCUUGAUAUAUAUAUAUAUAUAGAGAGAGAGAGAGAGUAAGUUGGUUUUUAGAAUGGUGGGAUAUAGAGUUGGGGUAUAUUUGUUUGGUUCAUAGAUAGAUAUGGUUCCAUCAGGUCAUCUUGCAGCUUCAAUCACUCAUUCACCAACAGUCAAUACAAUUACCUCUUUUUUCCCUAAUUAAUACAAUUCAUGGAUUCUGCAAGUAAUGGUACUCUUCCAGACUCUCUCUCAAUAUAUAUACAUAUAUUUAUGUAUAUCUUUUUCUCUCUUUAGAUAUCUUUAUGUUUGUGUGUACUUGUUUGUCUUUAGUAUAUAUAUAUAUAUAUAUAUAUAUGCAGAUCAAUAUAUCAAUGAGACAACAAGUAAGGACAAAAUCCCAAGACACGAGAAAGACAUGCUUCUGUCUUUCUCUUCCUUGUUUUGCUGGAGAAUUUGAGGGUGUUUUCCAGAUAAGUUCAAGCCAGAAUGAUUGUGUUCGUUCGAAAUCAGGUUUUGAUCAUGUAUAAUUAAUUAAUGUAGUAAAAAUGGUUAGGUUUCUUUCUUUAAGUCUAUGACGGCAUUAUCCCUAUCGUCUUUUGGAUUUGCCUCAAUCUGUAUGACUUUGGGUUUCAUUAAAAUUUAUUUUUGCCGAUCAAAAAAAAAUCUACUAAAAUCCCAAUGUUAUUGUAGUAACGGCCUUAACUUCCUUGUAAUGUUUCUAGGGCUACACAAUUUUUAGAUUAUUAGAAAGAAAAUUUGGGAUAAUACCAUGUAAUUAACAUCUUAAUUAAAUGAAGAUAAGUGAGACUAUUGCUAGAACCACAGUACGUACCCUUUUAUGAAAUGUGGAUUAAUUAAAAAAUUUGUAUUUUCAAAUAAGGGAUUUAAUUUGUUGAAAUUCAUUUCAUUAGUAGCUAUAGGCAUAAAAUGAAUAUAUUCUGAAUGAAGUACAUUGUUUUGCCAUAUAUGUCCUUCAUUGUGUAAUUGGUAUCUAGAGUUGAAUUAAUAAUUAGGAUAUAUUAAUCAUGUUGAGUAAAUAUGUAUGUAUGAAGUGGAAUUAAUAUAUAUAAAGAAGAAAAAAAAAAGAGAAAAACAAAAAAUUAAAGCAACAUAUAUCAAUAUAUAAAGAGAUGGAUGUUAUAAUGCUGUUUAAGUAUUACUAACUAUUAAUAAAAGUUAUUGACAGUUUAACAGAGGUAAUUAGCAAUAAAAAAUUAUAUGUUUUUCAUUAUUAAUUAUAAUUAUGACUAAGUUUUACUUGGUAAUGUUAAAUGAUUACUUCUAUGCAAGUAGUGUUUGUUCAUGCAUAUAUAUGAUGGAGUUCUAUUCUCGAUCAUCUUUUAAGUUUUUCUGUCCUUGGAAAUUUUACUCUAUCGGCCUCUCUUCCUUCCACCAGAAUUAGUAUCUGUUUCUGCAGAAUAAUCGCGUUAUUGCCUCUAAAUUGGGCUCUUAAGGCAUGAAACUUGGGAAGGAGGAUGACACAGUCAGAAUAGGAAAUUGAAGGAAUUUCAAGUCUAAAAAGGUUUAACACUGUUUUUGUCAUAACUUUUGAUCUGUUUGAAGUUGCGGGGCUUAUAAUAUAUCAAAUCAAAACUUACGACGAGCUCUACCAGUCUAUCACCUUUGGUCAUGAAGGAUACCGUAGAAAUCCCAAAAGACGCCUGGAAACAUGUGUUUGGGCCUUCCGAAGUUAAUUUUGGGUUUAUUUGGACUAUUUUGUGUUUUAAUUAUUCUUUGCUUGUUUUUGAAGGAUGUUAUCAUGUGUUUUAUGGUUAACUUUUAUUUACUCAGAUUUUAUAAAUAUUGUGACUGCUUGGUCAAUUUAUCCAAUUUUAUAAAUUUUUGUGAUUGUAAAGGUUAUAUCUUUGAGUCGAGGUGUUUGUGGCAGUUAAAGGAAGGUGGAAAGGCAAUCAAUGUUUCAUUAUGGCAAUCUGAUUUUUAUUUGUAUUUUUUUGAUUGUAUAAUUUUAUUCAAAUCUUUCCUCAUCUUGAUCUUGUACUCCUUCAAGUGUCAUAGAAAAUAGAGGGUUAUUUUUACUUUCCAACUAAAGAAGUGGAAUCUUAAAUACUAUAUGUGAUCAAUCCCAGAUUAAUGUACACCAAGACAUAGUAUUAAAUAAAUUAUUCUCAUUCACAAAGAACAAGAAGCUAGGGUUUGUGUAAUUGAUUUAGUGGGAGUAUAUUUAAUUG